GACUCCUUAGCUCAGGCGGUAGAGCAACUGACUUUUAAUCAGUGGGUCGAGAGUUCGAGUCUCUCAGGAGUCACCA
Molecule: transfer RNA, 76 nt
Filed under: Erysipelothrix sp.
Lineage: Bacteria; Bacillati; Bacillota; Erysipelotrichia; Erysipelotrichales; Erysipelotrichaceae
Description: tRNA-Lys
Rfam family: tRNA
About the family: Transfer RNA (tRNA) molecules are approximately 80 nucleotides in length. Their secondary structure includes four short double-helical elements and three loops (D, anti-codon, and T loops).
Source: RNAcentral